This 290-nucleotide long non-coding RNA is filed under the name Gossypium barbadense (sea-island cotton). RNAcentral's name for it is "long non-coding RNA (GBAR_LNC013243)". Lineage: Eukaryota; Viridiplantae; Streptophyta; Magnoliopsida; Malvales; Malvaceae. The record is from RNAcentral.
UCACAUCCAAUAUGUUAGGACACAACGUGUUGAAUUCCCAAUAAUGAGUUCUUAUUUUUUGACUAAAGAGAAAUGUUCAAUUGUUAGAUUUAACAAAGAAAAUCGGAACCCAAUACGUUAGGGCUCAAUUCCCUUGAAAAUCCUAAAUACGAGCAUUAUCUCAAUUUGGAAAAUUUUCUAUUUUUUAAAAUCGAGUAAAAAAAAUGAUGUAAUGUUAUAUUGAAUGCAUGUAUAAAUAUCGCAAUAACAAAUAACAAUAAUAAAUACGACAAUUGUAUAGAAAUAAGAUA